Dreissena polymorpha is the source of this 3304-nucleotide RNA transcript. It is a transcript of the gene named neprilysin-like, with no coding region annotated. The record is from RefSeq and is a predicted model, not a curated record. NCBI's taxonomy places the organism in Eukaryota, Metazoa, Mollusca, Bivalvia, Myida, Dreissenidae. The transcript has 13 exons.
CGUGGUGUUUUUUAACAGUAAACUUUGUGUUAAAAACGUAUUUUGGAGUGUGUGUUUAUCAUGCAUUAAUGUAUCCCUAUGUGACCCAAAUUCGACGAUGUAACGGUUACAUGAAGCAAUAUUUAGCAAAUAAUGAAAGAAAUAAUGAAAUGUUUAAUAGCACAAAAUAAUAAUUUUAAACUCGUCUGUAUUACUUUGAAAUGAUUCCAAGACAAUAACCAUCCAUUUAAUCAAUACAAAUAGAACAUCGUCGAAUUUAGGUGUCGUCGAAUUUGGGUUGCGGUAGGAUAUAUUUCGAUAGGAAUACACUAAAAUAGUGUGGUUUGAACUUAGUUCCGAUAAAGACAUGGAAGAUAGAAGUGGAUAUCGUUUAAACAUUUUUGUUAUAAACAUCGGAUUAAAGUUGUCAACUUAAUUGUUAUAAAAAUUGGAUUAACGAUGGCAAUAAGGUGGUUUCAGGGACUUCUUCUGUUCCCGCCCGCUGGCAGAAAUGCGCCUCCACUGUGAACGCUGUCAUGCCGGAAGUGAUUGGGCGGCUGUUUGUGGAAACCGCUUUCAAGGAUGACUCCAAGACAGAUGUAUUGGAUCUUGAAGACAAGAUACGCGAGACAUUCAUGGAAAUGAUUGACCACCUCGACUGGAUGAGUUACACAACCAAACAGUUUGCUAAGGAAAAGGCCAAUUACAUAGACACACAAAUCGGUUACCAAGAUCUUGUCUACAAAAACGACGAACUGAACGAUAUGCAAAAACAUGUGACUGUAGACGACAGCGACCCUCUGAAGACUCUUGCCAGUUUCGAAAAGGCCUCGGUUAUACGCAAACUUCUGCAGCUGAGGAAGGACUUUGACAAAUCAGAAUCGGCUCCUAGCGUCGGAUUGUAGCACUCUGUAUUUGGUGGCACUUUUCCCCAGCAACCGUGAAUGCCAUUUAUUCACCAACUGGUAAUUCCAUAAUAUUCCAUGCUGUCAUUCUUCAACCGCCAUAUUAUUCACACGACCAACCUGCGCCGUAAGUAUGACAAAGAGGGAAACCUUAAGUCCUGAUGGGCGGCGGACGACGGCUCGAAGUUUGAGGAGCGUGCUCAGUGCAUCAUAGAUCAGUACAACGGCUACGUGGUGCCAGGAACAGGCAACAUGACUAUUAAUGGUAUUAAUACCUUAGGAGAAAACAUUGCGGAUAACGGUGGCAUCAAAGCAAGCUUCAAAGCGUACCGGAAGUGGGUGAACAGUUCAAGAGGAGGCAAGGAGGAGCCGAAACUACCCGGACUUCCCUACACACCGAAUCAGCUAUUUUUUCUCAAUGCUGCACAGAUUUGGUGCUCAAGUACUAGAGAUCAAGCGAAGAUGGCGCUCAUUCUUACGGGAACACAUAGCAUAUCGGAUUACAGGGUGCACGGUACCCAUCUGAACAAGAAUGUGCGUGUGACGCGACACACAAAACAGAGUCAACGGAAAUGACUAUGAAGUUGGGCGUGUGUUUGAUGUGACAUAUCGACUAUUGAUGAAUGACAUUUGAUAUUUAAAAAAUUUGAACUAUUUAUGUCAUCAUCAUAAUCAUCAUCAUCAUCAUUCCUGUAAUAAGAAAAAAAAAACAGAAAAAGAUCAACAUCUUUAUGUUCGGAAGUAUAGACUUAGAUGAAUACAUGUGCCAUACGUGUGCAACUUCAGAUUGAACAAACAACAAUCUAAAACAAUCUUACUAAUAUAUUUACACAAAUUAGUUAAUAUAGUUUACAUGGUUUCCGAGAUGAAGAACGCUUAUCCGGUUAGGUCAAGAACAAGAAAAUAGGGCGAGCUUAAGCGUAAACGAAUAAUCCUGCGUCGGUACGGUCAUUCGAUUUCGUAAAUAAGUCAGAAUAGUUUGCAUUCGUUUAAAACGUUUUCAACGAAUAGUGUGGUUUAAAAUACAUUUUUAUAAAUGGAUUAAAGAACUGAAAAUGGAAGUGCAUACCGUUGACAUUGUAUUUUUUUAUGAUCAUUGGAUUAAAAGUGUCAUUCCGGUAAUCGGGUCGUUUACUUAAUUUUGUUUUUAUGGCCUGUGUUAAAUCUCAAAGAAAGUCAUUAAUCAAAUAUAUAGUACGGUUUCAGUUGAAAUCAAUAGUUUAUUUUUUUCAGUAUAAGAGGCGCGAUCUGAUUCUUUUCAGAUAUGAAAAAUCGGCCCGACUAUAUACCCGCCGAUACAAUUGAGGUUUGUCUUGCUAUUGCAUUUUUUUCAUUUCAAACCGAAAAAAAUCACAUUCUUGAUUCGUUAUUUUUUUUUCUCUGAUUUUCAAUAGGAAAGUUUUCAAAUGAACAUUUAAAUAUAACAUUUAAAACAUGAUAUUUUUACUUGACACAAUCGGCAAUCAUUCGGUCCUCAAAAAUGUUGUGUACAUGUAAAAGGCCCGACCAGAAUAAUUAUUAAGUUUAGUCAAUUAGUCAUUUGUUUUUGAUAAAAUGUGUUAACGGCAUAUUUUACAAUUAUGCCGGAUAUAUCGAUAUCGUUAUAGCUCGCCCUAUUUUCUUGGUCUAGGCCUCACCGGAUAAACUUUCUCCAUCUCGGCACCAACUAUGUAUUCACUAUAUUUUUUUUUAUAAGAAAAUAAUAUCUACUUUUUUAUUAUGAACUAUGAACGUGUUUACUUUAAUGUUCCAGUUGAUAAAUUAUAUUUAAUCUUAAUAGUUUUCUUCAAAUAAGACAACACAAAGAUACAAAAGGGCCUUGAUUAACUUGAAGACCCCACCUAGAUUCAAGGGUCACCAAUUAUCCAAGACUUGACCAAGUGACAAUUGUCUUAGACCCACUUGACCCAGAUUCAGUUUCAUCAAGGUCGAGUCUUUAGUGUUGCCUUAACAUAGUUUUUCUAAAAUUCGACAUGUUUACCAAUUUUGGACGCAUGUUAUCCACAUUCAACUGGGUCCACUUAUUGCGAAGAUAAACAUUCUAACCAUGUUCCAUAAAGAUCUUAUGUAAAAUAUGGUCUCAUGUUUGGUGAAAGAUCAAUAAUGACGACACACGACUCUCAACGACAGACGCCGAACAUCGGGUGAUCACAAUGGCUCACUUAAAACACCAGCCGCAUUACAACAAAUAUUAAUAAUGGACAUAUCAGCUACAUAGCAAAACUAAACAUUUUAAAAUGAAUAAAAUUUGCCAUGAAGUCAUUAAGUUAGCUCAUGUUGUCUGUGUUGGAACUAGUAUAUGCAGUAAACACCACAUAACAUUAUUGUUAUUGAUUAUUUGAUGAAACAAUUAAGAAGGCUACUUUAUAGAAACAGUUAUCAGUUUUAAAAUACAUUUUUCUUCAUUCGCUGAACAAUUA